AUACGGAGGGUGCAAGCGUUACUCGGAAUCACUGGGCGUAAAGGACGCGUAGGCGGGUUGGAAAGUCUGAUGUGAAAUCCUACAGCUUAACUGUAGAACUGCAUUGGAAACUUCCAACCUUGAGUAUGGGAGGGGGAGAUGGAAUUAGUGGUGUAGGGGUAAAAUCCGUAGAUAUCACUAGGAAUACCCAAAGCGAAGGCGAUCUCCUGGAACAUUACUGACGCUAAGGCGUGAAAGCGUGGGGAGCAAACGGGAUUAGAUACCCUAGUAGUCC
RNAcentral lists this ribosomal RNA (274 nucleotides) under uncultured bacterium. RNAcentral's name for it is "partial 16S ribosomal RNA". It matches the Rfam family "Bacterial small subunit ribosomal RNA", at positions 523 to 796 of the family's 1533-position model. The record is from RNAcentral.